AGCCGCAGCUGCUCACCUCAUAGAGAAUACAAUUAAUACUUCAGAGAACAGCAUUGUGCUCAAUUCUAGAAAACAGAGAAACUUAAACCUUUAAUAAAGGAAUUACAUUUGUAUGUCAGUAAUUGUCUGCCUACCACCACAUUUAUUCCUUUUGAUAGUCACAUCACAAAUUGUUCAGAAAGUGUUCAGUUAUCUUGGUAAGACAUUUAAAAAUCUAACAACACAAUACAGAGGUGUGAGCUCAUUCAUGUGUUUUGAUAUUUUAUUUCUUUGUAAUGAAUGCUUUAGUGAGGAUCUGAACACAAGAGUAUUUAAGUGAUUAU
Long non-coding RNA from Erpetoichthys calabaricus (reedfish), 323 nucleotides. RefSeq lists it as uncharacterized. The transcript is spliced from 3 exons. The record is from RefSeq and is a predicted model, not a curated record. NCBI's taxonomy places the organism in Eukaryota, Metazoa, Chordata, Cladistia, Polypteriformes, Polypteridae.